GUGCUCACUUCGGCAGCACAUAUACUAAAAUUGGAAGGAUACAGAAAUUAGCAUGGCCCCCAUGCAAAGAUGGCACACAAAAUGUGUGAAGCAUUCCGUAUUUUU
Molecule: small nuclear RNA, 105 nt
Organism: Eubalaena glacialis (North Atlantic right whale)
Lineage: Eukaryota; Metazoa; Chordata; Mammalia; Artiodactyla; Balaenidae
Source: RefSeq, a predicted model, not a curated record